RNAcentral lists this ribosomal RNA (400 nucleotides) under uncultured bacterium. RNAcentral's name for it is "bacterial SSU rRNA". It matches the Rfam family "Bacterial small subunit ribosomal RNA", at positions 359 to 776 of the family's 1533-position model. The record is from RNAcentral.
GAAUAUUGGACAAUGGGCGAAAGCCUGAUCCAGCAAUGCCGCGUGAGUGAAGAAGGCCUUAGGGUUGUAAAGCUCUUUUACCCGGGAUGAUAAUGACAGUACCGGGAGAAUAAGCUCCGGCUAACUCCGUGACAGCAGCCGCGGUAAUACGGAGGGAGCUAGCGUUGUUCGGAAUCACUGGGCGUAAAGUGCACGUAGGCGGCUUUGUAAGUUAGAGGUGAAAGCCCGGGGCUCAACUCCGGAACUGCCUUUAAGACUGCAUCGCUUGAAUCUGGGAGAGGUAAGUGGAAUUCCGAGUGUAGAGGUGAAAUUCGUAGAUAUUCGGAAGAACACCAGUGGCGAAGGCGGCUUACUGGACCAGAAUUGACGCUGAGGUGCGAAAGCGUGGGGAGCAAACAGG